ACGGCGUCCGCAGCACGGCCUGAGGCGCCGGCGCGGCCCGGUCCGCGUCUGACAGGAGAGGCCGAGGGGAAAGGCGGGAGCGCGGGGCCGAGGGUUGCAGGGCUGCGGUGGAGGAAGCCGGGACACACCGGGGCAGGGAGCCGGGGCUCACCGGGGCAGGGAACCGGGGCACACCGCGGGGGGAGCCGCGGCCCCCCCGCCCCCGCUCUCCCCGCCCGGGCCGGGGCCGCGCGCGCGCAGCGAGAGGCGGCCAGGGAGAGUGUCGCCCCCUAGCGGCGGCUCUGGCCCUCGCACACGUGUGCCCGCGGGUUCGAGUCCCGGCGCUGCCCGCUGGCACCGGGGACUGUGCGCUGCGGUUAAUCUCGGGCUCUGCCGCUGCAGUGGGUCCGGGAGAAGCGACCAUGUCCAUCGCCUCCUCCAACACCACCAUGAGGGUGCCCGCCGGCUUCCGGAACCUGUUGGAGGGGCUGGCACGGGAAGUGCUGCGGGAGCAGCCCACCAACGUGGUGGCCUUUGCAGCUCAGCACUUCCAAAAGCUGCUGGAGCAGAGAGAGGCCUGGCAGGGGUGUCGGGCUGAUAGGCUCGCCCGGAGGAAAGCGCAUUACGUAGGCAAGCGGCUCCGCUCAACUUGCCACCUGCGCCGGGAGAGCUGCCGGGGAAGCGAGAUCCUGCCGGAGCCCCUCGCCCGCCGCUGGCCGCCCACCCGCCCUCCGCCAUGGACUGCUGCAAUGAGGGAGCCUGCACAAAGCUGGACGAGGACAUCCUGGACAUCCCUUUGGACGAUCCUGAUGCCAACGCGGCAGCUGCCAAGAUCCAGGCUAGUUUCCGUGGCCAUAUGACCCGCAAGAAGAUCAAAGGGGGCGAGAUUGAUCGGAAAACCAAGGACGCCGAGUGCGCCAACAGCACCCGCGGCGGCGACCUCCGCAACGGCGACUAGGGGCCACCAGCUGCUCACCGGAAACCCCUCGCCACCGACCCCCUCCCGCCGCCGCCCACCGAGGCCCAGGAGCCCCCGCUUCACCCCCUACCCCCCGCAUGCAUCCCCCGGGGUCCCCCCACAGCCAGGCCCUGCC
RNA transcript from Poecile atricapillus (Black-capped chickadee), 1073 nucleotides. It is a transcript of the gene named neurogranin, with no coding region annotated. The record is from RefSeq and is a predicted model, not a curated record. NCBI's taxonomy places the organism in Eukaryota, Metazoa, Chordata, Aves, Passeriformes, Paridae. The transcript has 4 exons.